CCUACGGGGUGCAGCAGUGAGGAAUAUUGGUCAAUGGACGAGAGUCUGAACCAGCCAAGUCGCGUGAAGGAUGACUGUCCUGUGGGUUGUAAACUUCUUUUAUAUGGGAAUAAAAUGUUCCACGUGUCGGAUUAUGUCUGUACCAUAUGAAUAAGGAUCGGCUAACUCCGUGCCAGCAGCCGCGGUAAUACGGAGGAUCCGAGCGUUAUCCGGAUUUAUUGGGUUUAAAGGGAGCGUAGGUGGUUUGGUAAGUCAGUUGUGAAAGUUUGCGGCUCAACCGUAAAAUUGCAGUUGAAGCUGGCAGUCUUGAGUACAGUAGAGGUGGGCGGAAUUCGUGGUGUAGCGGUGAAAUGCUUAGAUAUCACGAAGAACUCCGAUUGCGAAGGCAGUUCACUGGACUGCAACUGACACUGAGGCUCGAAAGUGUGGGUAUCAAACAGGAUUAGAUACCCGUGUAGUC
Molecule: ribosomal RNA, 460 nt
Filed under: uncultured bacterium
Lineage: Bacteria
Description: partial 16S ribosomal RNA
Rfam family: Bacterial small subunit ribosomal RNA
Source: RNAcentral